UACGUAGGGGGCUAGCGUUAUCCGGAAUUACUGGGCGUAAAGGGUGCGUAGGUGGUUUCUUAAGUCAGAGGUGAAAGGCUACGGCUCAACCGUAGUAAGCCUUUGAAACUGGGAAACUUGAGUGCAGGAGAGGAGAGUGGAAUUCCUAGUGUAGCGGUGAAAUGCGUAGAUAUUAGGAGGAACACCAGUGGCGAAGGCGACUUUCUGGCCAAAACUGACGCUGAGAUGCGAAAGCGUGGGGAGGCAAACAGGAUUAGAUACCCUGGUAGUCCCUGAGCGGG
Molecule: ribosomal RNA, 281 nt
Filed under: uncultured prokaryote
Description: partial 16S ribosomal RNA
Rfam family: Bacterial small subunit ribosomal RNA
Source: RNAcentral